Molecule: ribosomal RNA, 465 nt
Filed under: Vreelandella stevensii
Lineage: Bacteria; Pseudomonadati; Pseudomonadota; Gammaproteobacteria; Oceanospirillales; Halomonadaceae
Description: partial 16S ribosomal RNA
Rfam family: Bacterial small subunit ribosomal RNA
Source: RNAcentral
CCUACGGGUGGCAGCAGUGGGGAAUAUUGGACAAUGGGCGAAAGCCUGAUCCAGCCAUGCCGCGUGUGUGAAGAAGGCCUUCGGGUUGUAAAGCACUUUCAGUGGGGAAGAAAGCCUUGGGGCUAAUACCCUCGAGGAAGGACAUCACCCACAGAAGAAGCACCGGCUAACUCCGUGCCAGCAGCCGCGGUAAUACGGAGGGUGCGAGCGUUAAUCGGAAUUACUGGGCGUAAAGCGCGCGUAGGCGGUCUGAUAAGCCGGUUGUGAAAGCCCCGGGCUCAACCUGGGAACGGCAUCCGGAACUGUCAGGCUAGAGUGAAGGAGAGGAAGGUAAAAUUCCCGGUGUAGCGGUGAAAUGCGUAGAGAUCGGGAGGAAUACCAGUGGCGAAGGCGGCCUUCUGGACUGACACUGACGCUGAGGUGCGAAAGCGUGGGUAGCAAACAGGAUUAGAUACCCUAGUAGUC